UACGUAGGGCGCAAGCGUUGUCCGGAAUCAUUGGGCGUAAAGCGCGUGUAGGCGGUUCGGUAAGUCUGCUGUGAAAGUCCAGGGCUCAACCCUGGGAUGCCGGUGGAUACUGUCGGACUAGAGUACGGAAGAGGCGAGUGGAAUUCCCGGUGUAGCGGUGAAAUGCGCAGAUAUCGGGAGGAACACCAAUGGCGAAGGCAGCGCGCUGGGACGUCACUGACGCUGAGACGCGAAAGCGUGGGGAGCGAACAGG
Molecule: ribosomal RNA, 253 nt
Filed under: uncultured bacterium
Lineage: Bacteria
Description: partial 16S ribosomal RNA
Rfam family: Bacterial small subunit ribosomal RNA
Source: RNAcentral